GCCAUACUCGUAAAACAUGAUACAAAGAAAUUCAGAACCAUUCUCUUCAGUGGUUUCAAUAUGAUAUUGAUUAUCUUGAAUGUCUCUAAAACUCAUCAAUGUUCUUCCGGAACGUGGAGAAUAAAACGCCUUUUUAAUGGUUAAGACAAUACCAUUAGACUGUACAGGCCUUUUCGUUUCCUUCAAUCAGGUUGGAUAAGCCUGAGAGGGUUGUCAGAUGUGCUUUCUUAGGUACAAAGUUAGUAAAUAGUGUCACUCACGCAAUAUGGUGUGCAUAGUAGCACUAUCAGCCAGACAACUA
RNAcentral lists this long non-coding RNA (301 nucleotides) under Malus domestica (apple). RNAcentral's name for it is "long non-coding RNA (MDOM_LNC015058)". Lineage: Eukaryota; Viridiplantae; Streptophyta; Magnoliopsida; Rosales; Rosaceae. The record is from RNAcentral.